This 253-nucleotide ribosomal RNA is filed under the name uncultured bacterium. RNAcentral's name for it is "partial 16S ribosomal RNA". It matches the Rfam family "Bacterial small subunit ribosomal RNA", at positions 524 to 776 of the family's 1533-position model. The record is from RNAcentral.
UACGUAGGAGGCAAGCGUUGUUCGGAAUGACUGGGCGUAAAGCGCGCGUAGGCGGAUCGGAUAGUUGGGGGGGAAAGCCCAGGGCUCAACCCUGGAAUGGCCUUCAAAACUCCCGAUCUAGAGUUCGAGAGAGGUGAGUGGAAUUCCGAGUGUAGAGGUGAAAUUCGUAGAUAUUCGGAGGAACACCAGUGGCGAAGGCGGCUCACUGGCUCGACACUGACGCUGAGGUGCGAAAGCGUGGGGAGCAAACAGG